Molecule: ribosomal RNA, 508 nt
Filed under: uncultured bacterium
Lineage: Bacteria
Description: bacterial SSU rRNA
Rfam family: Bacterial small subunit ribosomal RNA
Source: RNAcentral
AGAGUUUGAUCCUGGCUCAGGACGAACGCUGGCGGCGUGCUUAACACAUGCAAGUCAAGGGGGCCCAGCAAUGGGCAACCGGCGAACGGGUGCGUAACACGUGAGCAACCUACCGAACUGUGGGGGAUAGCCGGCCUAACGGCCGAGUAAUACCGCAUACGCUUUCAGUGAGGCAUUUCAUUGAAAGGAAACCUACGGGACAGAUCGAGGGGCUCGCGGCCUAUCAGCUAGUUGGCGAGGUAACGGCUCACCAAGGCGACGACGGGUAGCUGGUCUGAGAGGAUGGCCAGCCACAUUGGGACUGAGAUACGGCCCAGACUCCUACGGGAGGCAGCAGUGGGGAAUCUUGCGCAAUGGCCUAACGGCUGACGCAGCGACGCCGCGUGUGGGAUGAAGCUCUUCGGAGUGUAAACCACUGUUGCCCGGGACGAAUAGCUCGAUUAAUCGAGCCUGACGGUACCGGGUGAGGAAGCACCGGCUAACUCCGUGCCAGCAGCCGCGGUAAUUC